Molecule: long non-coding RNA, 218 nt
Filed under: Brassica napus (rape)
Lineage: Eukaryota; Viridiplantae; Streptophyta; Magnoliopsida; Brassicales; Brassicaceae
Description: long non-coding RNA (BNAP_LNC022467)
Source: RNAcentral
GUGCAUUUGGAGCUCAAAAGAAGUGUUUAAAGCGAUCAUUGGACGAGCAGAGCAGGGGAGCGAGGUUCCGCAGCGACGUCAUGAGGUAGCUCCAAAGCACCUCUCAGAGCGACCUAGCUGGAGCGACCCCGUGAAGUCGCUCGCCAUACUCACCCCGUGAAGCGACUUGCCCAGAGCGACCUCCCGGAGCGACAUCACGAAGUCGCUGUGUCCCACUU